CGGAGGGUGCAAGCGUUAUCCGGAAUCAUUGGGUUUAAAGGGUCCGCAGGCGGAUUUAUAAGUCAGUGGUGAAAGCCUGAUGCUUAACAUCAGAACUGCCAUUGAUACUGUAAGUCUUGAAUUCGAUCGAAGUGGGCGGAAUAUGACAUGUAGCGGUGAAAUGCUUAGAUAUGUCAUAGAACACCGAUAGCGAAGGCAGCUCACUAGGUCUGGAUUGACGCUCAGGGACGAAAGCGUGGGGAGCAAACAGGAUUAGAUACCCUGGUAGUCCACGCCGUAAACUAUCAAUACUCGUUUUCGGGGACUUCGGUCUUCGGAGACUAAGCGAAAGUGAUAAGUAUUGCACCUGGGGAGUACGAUCGCAAGGUUG
This 370-nucleotide ribosomal RNA is filed under the name uncultured organism. RNAcentral's name for it is "bacterial SSU rRNA". It matches the Rfam family "Bacterial small subunit ribosomal RNA", at positions 526 to 896 of the family's 1533-position model. The record is from RNAcentral.